CUUGCCAGUAGCAUCUUUGUCUCACUAGGUCGGUUGUUCGUUCCACACCUUGGUGUCCUUGGCCCUGAUGUAGCUGGUACAAUACUUCCUCUUUUAGUUUAGCAGGUAAUACUAGCUGUCGUCCUCCCAGCCAUCUGGUCUAGACACACGGCGAUACAGAACUCCCUCCUCCUUUGUCACCCUCUCCCAUUGGCGAAGCAUCUCCAAAACUGAUUUGGGGAUGGUGUGCCUCUCCUGCUGGUCUGGGCCUCGUUUCCGUUACCUCCAUAGUCGGUUGUGUGCCGAGUUGUGCUAUCAUCUGGGGGAUGGCACUGCCCGGCAUCAAGGCACCACAUCCUUCAGCAUCAGUUUGAUACUGCCGGGAUAAUCCAUCUGCAUUACCAUUGGCUCGGCCGGGUCUGUACUUAAUGGUGAAAUCAAAGUCAGAAAGUUGAGCCGCCCACCGCUGCUCGAGGGCACCCAAUUUAGCCGUGGAUCGAUAAAUUAAAGGGUUAUUGUCCGUAUACACCACACACUUCUGACCCAGGAGAUAUUCCCUGAAUUUCUCGGUCAUAGCCCACUUGGGCGCCAAGAACUCCAAAUUCAUGGAACUGUAAUUUGUCAUAUUUCGUUCCGUUGGCUUUAAUCCGCUGCUGGCGUAGGCCACUGGUCUCACCUUGCCACUCUGUUCCUGCGAGAGCACUGCUCCAAGACCACUGUAGCUGUAAAAAAAAACACUGUAAAAACUCCUCGCGCAUUCGUCUGUCCAGACCUCACUGCAUGGGCGACCGGAUGGCUUUUUCUUUUUGGACCCCGCCAUUUUAGCGACUAGGCGGUGCAGAGGAGCGGCAAGAGUAGCAAAGCCAUUGAUAAACCUUCGAUAAUAACUAGCGAACCCCAAAAAGGAACGUAAUUCCGAUGCGUGUUUGGGUGGGGCCCAAUUAGCCACUGCACUGAUUUUAUCUGGGUCUGUGGACACUCAUCCUUUGAAAUAACGUGGCCCAGAUACUUCACCUUAGGCUGAAAGAAGCUGCACUUCUCCAAUUUGACUUAUAGGCCUUCUUGGUGAAGCCGACUCAGCACUGCCUCCAGGCGUGUCACAUGCUCCCCUAUGGUAGAGGAAAACACCACCACAUCAUCCAAAUACAAAACUAAUGACUCAAAAUUCUGGGCCCCAAACAUUCGCUCCAUCAAGCGUUGAAAAGUGCCUGGUGCAUUGCACAGACCAAAGGGCAUACGGUUAAAUUCGAACAACCCGAAGGGCGUACUAAAAGCUGUCUUGUUCUUGUCGGCCUCUAUCACGGCAACUUGAUUGUACCCACUGGCCAGAUCCAUGGUACUGAACCAGCGGGCACCCGACAAGGCAUCCAGCGACUCUUUGAUACGGGGCAGAGGGAAAGCAUCUUUUCUUGUUUUUCCAUUGAGUUGCCGAUAGUCCACACAAAGACGUAUGCUGCCAUCUUUCUUUUUCACCAGGACAACCGGAGAGGCAUAGGGGCUGCUACUUUCCCUAAUGACCUGAUUUUCCAGCAACUGAUAGAUAUGAGCUUUAACUGCCUCGUAAUCCGAUGGAAGGAUACGUCGAUAGUGCUGCCUUAUGGGCGCAUUGUCCACUAAAUAUUAUGAACAAUAAGGUUUGUACAGCCUAUGUCACCCUCACAUGCGGAGAAAACUGACUCGUACUUAUGCAAAAGGGACCUCACCUUGCCCUGUUCGUGGGAGGGUAUACUGGACAAGACAAUGUCCCUGAUAGCAUUCUGUACAGAUCUCCCUCCAGCAACUUGGAUGACAUGCCACAACGUUGCCACAACACCUUGGUCCGAGCUCCCCUCAAUUUUGAUAACGCCGG
Long non-coding RNA from Gasterosteus aculeatus aculeatus (three-spined stickleback), 1828 nucleotides. NCBI's taxonomy places the organism in Eukaryota, Metazoa, Chordata, Actinopteri, Perciformes, Gasterosteidae. The record is from Ensembl.